GACGAACGCUGGCGGCGUGCUUAACACAUGCAAGUCGAACGGAAAGGCCCUGCUUUUGUGGGGUGCUCGAGUGGCGAACGGGUGAGUAACACGUGAGUAACCUGCCCUUGACUUUGGGAUAACUUCAGGAAGCUGGGGCUAAUACCGGAUAGGAGCUCCUGCUGCAUGGUGGGGGUUGGAAAGUUUCGGCGGUUGGGGAUGGACUCGCGGCUUAUCAGCUUGUUGGUGGGGUAGUGGCUUACCAAGGCUUUGACGGGUAGCCGGCCUGAGAGGGUGACCGGCCACAUUGGGACUGAGAUACGGCCCAGACUCCUACGGGAGGCAGCAGGGGGGAAUAUUGCACAAUGGGCGGAAGCCUGAUGCAGCAACGCCGCGUGCGGGAUGACGGCCUUCGGGUUGUAAACCGCUUUCGCCUGUGACGAAGCGUGAGUGACGGUAAUGGGUAAAGAAGCACCGGCUAACUACGU
RNAcentral lists this ribosomal RNA (467 nucleotides) under uncultured bacterium. RNAcentral's name for it is "partial 16S ribosomal RNA". It matches the Rfam family "Bacterial small subunit ribosomal RNA", at positions 28 to 506 of the family's 1533-position model. The record is from RNAcentral.